This 402-nucleotide ribosomal RNA is filed under the name uncultured bacterium. RNAcentral's name for it is "partial 16S ribosomal RNA". It matches the Rfam family "Bacterial small subunit ribosomal RNA", at positions 360 to 776 of the family's 1533-position model. The record is from RNAcentral.
AAUAUUGGGCAAUGGGGGAAACCCUGACCCAGCAACGCCGCGUGAAGGAAGAAGGCCUUCGGGUUGUAAACUUCUGUGACAGGGGACGAACACAAUGACGGUACCCUGAGAGGAAGCCACGGCAGACUACGUGCCAGCAGCCGCGGUAAUACGUAGGUGGCGAGCGUUGUCCGGAAUCACUGGGCGUAAAGGGCGCGUAGGCGGCGAUGCAAGUCGCAUGUGAAAUACCAGGGCUCAACCUUGGGGGUGCAUGCGAAACUGUGUUGCUUGAGUGCAGUAGAGGUAAGCGGAAUUCCUGGUGUAGCGGUAAAAUGCGUAGAGAUCAGGAGGAACACCGGUGGCGAAGGCGGCUUACUGGGCUGUAACUGACGCUGAUGCGCGAAAGCGUGGGGAGCAAACAGG